UAACGUUUAAAUAUUACAGCCACCGUUCCCAAUUGAGUUUUCCAUUAAAGAAAAUAAUUUAAGCGCUUUUCCUGCGGAAUUAAUCAGAAAUUCAUAAAGAGGCAAGUAAUAAAACGCCACACCAAUAUCACAUUGAUUGUUUCUGCAACGCUGUUUGAUUGCGGUACGUACAAUUAUAUGAGAUGCGCGGAGAUAUUGCUUUCAAUAUGGCGAUCUAUACGGCUUUGAUAUUAUUCCUUUGUGUCGUUUUAUCUCAAUGCGAGUAUAAUUAUGUGAAGUAUGGCAGAGCUGACAAUGGCCCAUUUCCGUCUAGUUUAAAGAACAUGCCCUACUAUUGCUAUCAAGUGCCAUCGAAAGGGCCCUGUGAGGGCAUGUUUUAUGUGUGGUUCUUUGACGUAGUGAGAAGAAAGUGUAUGCCAAUGAUGUAUUCUGGGUGCGGAG
Long non-coding RNA from Pieris brassicae (large cabbage white), 441 nucleotides. RefSeq lists it as uncharacterized. The transcript has 2 exons. The record is from RefSeq and is a predicted model, not a curated record. Lineage: Eukaryota; Metazoa; Arthropoda; Insecta; Lepidoptera; Pieridae.